Molecule: non-coding RNA, 73 nt
Organism: Hypoxylon argillaceum
Lineage: Eukaryota; Fungi; Ascomycota; Sordariomycetes; Xylariales; Hypoxylaceae
Source: the annotation of a GenBank genome assembly
GCCCGACUGGCGUAGUGGCUAACGCGUGCGCCUUCUAAGCGCAAGAUCGCGGGCUCGACCCCCACGUUGGGUU